GACGAAGGUGGCGCGCGUUGUUCGGAAUCGCUGGGCGUAAAGCGCACGACGGCGGCGCGUUAAGUCAGGGGUGAAAUCCUGGAGCUCAACUCCAGAACUGCCUUUGAUUCUGGCGUGCUCGAGUGUGGGAGAGGUUGGUGGAACUCCGAGUGUCGAGGUCAAAUUCGUAGAGAUUCGGAAGAACACCAGUGGCGAAGGCGGCCAACUGGCCCAUUACUGACGCUGAGGUGCGAAAGAGUGGGGUGCAAACAGG
This 253-nucleotide ribosomal RNA is filed under the name uncultured bacterium. RNAcentral describes it as "partial 16S ribosomal RNA". It matches the Rfam family "Bacterial small subunit ribosomal RNA", at positions 524 to 776 of the family's 1533-position model. The record is from RNAcentral.